RNAcentral lists this ribosomal RNA (492 nucleotides) under uncultured bacterium. Its description in RNAcentral is "partial 16S ribosomal RNA". It matches the Rfam family "Bacterial small subunit ribosomal RNA", at positions 29 to 507 of the family's 1533-position model. The record is from RNAcentral.
AGUGAACGCUGGCGGUAGGCCUAACACAUGCAAGUCGAACGGCAGCACAGUAAGAGCUUGCUCUUACGGGUGGCGAGUGGCGGACGGGUGAGGAAUACAUCGGAAUCUACUUUUUCGUGGGGGAUAAUGUAGGGAAACUUACGCUAAUACCGCAUACGACCUACGGGUGAAAGCAGGGGAUCUUCGGACCUUGCGCGAUUGAAUGAGCCGAUGUCGGAUUAGCUAGUUGGCGGGGUAAAGGCCCACCAAGGCGACGAUCCGUAGCUGGUCUGAGAGGAUGAUCAGCCACACUGGAACUGAGACACGGUCCAGACUCCUACGGUAGGCGGCAGUGGGGAAUAUUGGACAAUGGGCGCAAGCCUGAUCCAGCCAUACCGCGUGGGUGAAGAAGGCCUUCGGGUUGUAAAGCCCUUUUGUUGGGAAAGAAAAGCAGCAGGUUAAUACCCCGCUGUUCUGACGGUACCCAAAGAAUAAGCACCGGCUAACUUCGUG